This 397-nucleotide ribosomal RNA is filed under the name uncultured bacterium. Its description in RNAcentral is "bacterial SSU rRNA". It matches the Rfam family "Bacterial small subunit ribosomal RNA", at positions 32 to 410 of the family's 1533-position model. The record is from RNAcentral.
AAUCAACGCUGGCGGCGUGCCUCAGACAUGCAAGUCGAACGCGAAAGUCCCCUUCGGGGGAUGAGUAGAGUGGCGUCCGGGUGAGUAACACGUAGGUAAUCUACCUUUGGGUGGGGAAUAACCCCGAGAAAUCGGGGCUAAUACCGCAUAAUGCAGCGGCACCACAUGGUGACAGUUGUUAAAGCGGGGGAUCGCAAGACCUCGCGCCUAAAGAGGAGCCUGCGGCGGAUUAGCAGUUGGUAGGUAACGGCCUACCAAGGCAACGAUCCGUAGCCGGCCUGAGAGGGCGGUCGGCCACACUGACACUGAAAUACGGGUCAGACUCCUACGGGAGGCAGCAGUCGGGAAUUUUGGGCAAUGGGCGAAAGCCUGACCCAGCAACGCCGCGUGAAGGAUG